Molecule: ribosomal RNA, 3004 nt
Filed under: Triticum aestivum (bread wheat)
Lineage: Eukaryota; Viridiplantae; Streptophyta; Magnoliopsida; Poales; Poaceae
Description: partial small subunit ribosomal RNA
Source: RNAcentral
CGGCGGAGCAGGAGAAGUUGGGGGCGGAGCAGGAGCGGGGAGGGCGAGAAGGAGAGUAGCAGCGAGUGCGGGAGCAGGCGCCCAGAGACGGAGAGCGAGGAGAGGAGCAGGUCGAGCGGGAAGCAGAGGCGGUGGCGCUGGAGGAAGGGGAGCAGUGCGAAGGCGAGCGGCAGGGACAUGUCGCUGGCGGCGAGGCCCCGGUGCAGAGCGUGCCACUCGUGCGAGGUGCGACGGCACGGCGGAGUAGGACGCGGCGAGGCGACGCUUGGGAGCUGGCAUGGAGGGCGGAGGAGACGGCGAGGUGAGAGAGGCGAUGGAGGAGGGGUCGGAGAGGUAGGCAAGCAGUGGCUCGAAGUCAUAGCGGCUGGCGGGGCCGGCGGCGGAGACGGAGACCGAGGAGGUGGUGCAGCUGGGUAUGGGGAGGCGGAGGCGCUGGCGCUGGUGGCUGUCUGCCGCUGCCAGUCCUCUCCGGGCUCCUCCGCCGUAUCCUUCUCAAUCUCCGAUGUUUUUCUCCCGUGUCGUGAUUUGGAUGGACAAUUGGAGGUCGUGUCCUUGUCCAACACCAAGCAAUGGAGUGCCCGACCCGGAUUUCAGUUGCCUGCUAUAAGAAUGAAGGGCCCUCGGCCAGAAUCUCCAUCAGGUUGCGUCCUUGUACCAUAAGCUCCAUCAAAGCCCGUUGCAAUUUUCGACGAAACGUCCAAUGUCGUCGCCGAGUUCACCGGAGGAAGAAGCGCCGAGUUCGCCGGAGGAACAAGAACAUCCGUCCAUCCGUCCAAUGUAGCCUGACUCGGCUACACCAGAGGUUUGUAUCCCCUUGAUAUUCACUGGAUGGAAUCCCAUGUUUUACAUAUAAUUCUAUCCCCUGGCUCUGUAUGCGAUUCUGUUCUUACUUCAGUUAUGAAAUAGCUUUGUAGUUUUAUGUGGUGAAAGUUUUAGAGGCUGUUGAUAGCUUUCGAAAGGUACUAAGUUUGUGCAAUUCAGCAUAAUGAUUAUGAAGACAUCGCCAAAUAACAGUUCCGUUGUUCUAGGAUUUUCAGUCCAAGCAGAUUUAUGUUUUGCAAGAAUUAAUGGCGACUUUAGUUUAGCCUGGCUGGAUUAAGGGACAAUACUUAAUUUUGUGUUGUAGUAUAUAUGUACUUUGUUGUUUGCUCAACGAAUUAUAUUAUAUCAAUAUCAAUAAGCCGACAUUGUUCAGGCCUUAUUUUUUAGCUAUCCCCUUGACCCCUGUUUCAGUUAUUUUUCUGUCCCCUGUCUUGCUGGCGAGCCCGUGCGUGGCUACUGUUGUUGCUCGCGCGCCCGUACGCGUCCCUGAUCCUACCUAAUUAUUCAUCGCCAAGGAUGAGACGAUUUUAGUUGCCAUGGAUCAUAUAGAUAGGCCCUGUCCAUCUUGAUCUCGAUUGAAUCUGAUUGGAUGAGCAUGAAUUAUUUGGUUCUGCAGUCCAGGUAAAAAUAUGCCACACAAGCUGGCUUUUGUCUGUAGAAUAAGCAUAAUUUUUAACUGCCAUGAGCGCGUCUACUAGAUCGAUUUGUGUUAAACAAACUUACUUGGUUAAGUGCAGGAAUGUCUAGCGAAUUAUAUUCAGGAACCUUUUGACUUUUCAAUCCUCGCAAAUAACCUUGCUAAGUUAAACUCAUAAUUACCUCGCUCUUGUAUGAGAUAAUAGUAUGGAGUAGAACCAUAUGCAUCUUGAUCUGGAUUGAAUCUGAUUGGGUGAGCAUGAAUAUUCGGUUCUGGAGUGCAGGUCGAAAGACACAUGCUGGUUUUUGUCUGGCCAGUUAUAUUCAGCAACUUUUCUGACCUGUCAAUCCUCGCAAAAGAACCUUGCUAAACUUACAAUUACUUCUCUUGUGCCAGAUAACACUAUGAAGUAGAGCCAUAUGUUGCUGGUGACUGAAAUUGGUUCUGUCGUAAUUGGCUGAUUGCUUCAGUUUAUCAGUCUAGCUAAGAGUUUGUUUUCUGCGAAUGGUUUAGCAUGGCUGAGUAAUAUGUGUUUACUUCACUAAUUCAUAAGAAUUAUUUUCUCUUGCCAGCUUCAGCUGCAGCAGCAUCUUGCCUGCAUCAUAUAUUUUGUAUUAUGUUAUUGUGGUCAUGCUGAUUCUGAAUUUCUCCGUACUGCCGACUUUGCCGGAAUUACGUCCGCCUGUGUAGCCAAGGUUGAGAACUGAUGAUGGACGACGUAAAAACUGUUAAAGAGGAGAUUAAAGGAUGGAAGAUGGCAGCAGAGGAGGAGGCUGAAGCUGGUAGAUCAAUUGAGCAAGAAAAAUGGAUGACAACACUUAAUCGAUCAUUGUUGAGGAUUUUGAAACCUGACCUUCAUAAAGAAAGCAAAAUGUUCUGAAUCGGGUGUUUUGAAAUGGAGGUUUAACUUUAUUUGUAAGGCCCGCUCGGUACAUCCACCCUGAGGCAUCACCAUCUACAUGGUGGAAGAGGUUCGACACUGUGGACAUCAGCGGCGAUGUUGUUUCCAAUACGCAGAAAGUGCACGACUUCGGUGAGGGUGCGCAAGGUUUCUGCAUGUCCCUCAAGUUCCUGCCCCCAUACCGUCGCUCUCGCCAACCACAGCCGGAAGCUUGGAACCAUGGCCUGCUCUAAACGAGUCUCCAUCUGAUGUAUGGUACUUUGCCAAGGUCAAGGAGUAGCUUCCCGCAAAAAAAAGGGUUCAAGGAGUAGCACUAGCACCUCUGAAGCAGCAACAAAAGGAUCAAAACCACAUUCUUCAGCAUCCUACUCGGCAAAAAAAAAGGCGAAAAGACUGACUUCCAGAAAAAAACAUGAAGAAUUCUUCCAAGCACCAGACUGAGACAGAUUCCUUGAGACGUGCGCUUGAUAAUAUCAGGUGGUCAGGUUCUUUUCUAAGUUGAGGUAGGGUUGCCUCUUCAAUCUGUGAUAUUCAAAUGAGAGGGAAAAUGAAUAUAUAGAGGAAUAUAAUUAGAAUACAUUAUUAACAACCUCCAAAUUUUUAUCAUGUCUCAUGGCCAGUUCAAUACUUCUUUCUUAAUGCAA